This 595-nucleotide ribosomal RNA is filed under the name uncultured bacterium. RNAcentral's name for it is "bacterial SSU rRNA". It matches the Rfam family "Bacterial small subunit ribosomal RNA", at positions 912 to 1510 of the family's 1533-position model. The record is from RNAcentral.
GACGGGGGCCCGCACAAGCAGUGGAUUAUGUGGUUUAAUUCGAAGCAACGCGAAGAACCUUACCAGGGCUUGACAUCCUCUGACCGCUCUAGAGAUAGAGUUUCCCUUCGGGGCAGAGAGACAGGUGGUGCAUGGUUGUCGUCAGCUCGUGUCGUGAGAUGUUUGGUUAAGUCCAAUAACGAGCGCAACCCCUAUGGUCAGUUGCCAUCAUUUAGUUGGGCACUCUGGCAAGACUGCCGCGGACAACGCGGAGGAAGGAGGGGACGACGUCAAAUCAUCAUGCCCCUUAUGUCCUGGGCUACACACGUAAUACAAUGGCAACGACAGAGGGCAGCGAACCCGCGAGGGCAAGCAAAUCCCCAAACGUUGUCUCAGUUCGGACUGCAGGCUGCAACCCGCCUGCACGAAGUCGGAAUUGCUAGUAAUGGCAGGUCAGCAUACUGCCGUGAAUACGUUCCCGGGCCUUGUACACACCGCCCGUCACACCAUGAGAGUCUGCAAUACCCGAAGUCAGUAGCCUAACCGCAAGGAGGGCGCUGCCGAAGGUAGGGCCGAUAAUUGGGGUGAAGUCGUAACAAGGGUAGCCGUAUCGGAA